Molecule: transfer RNA, 69 nt
Filed under: Microphysogobio alticorpus
Lineage: Eukaryota; Metazoa; Chordata; Actinopteri; Cypriniformes; Gobionidae
Description: tRNA-Phe
Rfam family: tRNA
About the family: Transfer RNA (tRNA) molecules are approximately 80 nucleotides in length. Their secondary structure includes four short double-helical elements and three loops (D, anti-codon, and T loops).
Source: RNAcentral
GCUAGCGUAGCUUAAUGCAAAGCAUAACACUGAAGAUGUUAAGACGGGCCCUAAAAAGCUCCGCAUGCA